CGCAGGCCGGCGGGAGCUGAGCGCCGCCCGGGCCUCGCGGCUGCUGCAGGACGAAUCCCUGCGCAAUUCCCGGCGGGAAUGCCGCGAGCUGCGGGACAGAGCGGCCACGCUGCGGGACAGCCUGAGCACCGCCGAGAGACAGCGCAGGGCCGCGGAGGAGAAGCUGGGGGAGCUGGAGGAGGCCCGGCAGAGGCUGGAGCUGUGCGAGAGCCGCAGCUCCCGGCUGGAGGCCGAGCUGGGCCGGGCCCGCCGGGCGCUCGCUGAGAGGGACGCGGAGGCGCGGGAGGCGCGGGCGAGAGCGGAGCAGCUCCAGGAACAGCUGGCUCGGGCCGGGCCCCGCCCGGUUCCGUUCCCGGUGCCGUUCCCGGUUCCGCCGGGGAGCGGCUCCAAGGGGGAGGCUCCGGCCGGGUCCCCGCUCCACGAGCGGCUCCUGCAGCUCCAGAACGCGCUGGCCGCCGGCGAGAUGGACCGGAGGCUGCUCCAGGAGGGGCUGGAGGAGGCGCGGCGGGCGCUGGCGGAGGCGCGGCGGGAGAAGGGAAUGCUCCGGGAGCAGCUCCGGGAACAGCGGGAGCUGGGAAUGCUGCGGGAACCGGGAAUGCCGCGGGAACCGGGAAUGCCGAAGGAACUGGGAAUGCCGCGGGAACCGGGAAUGCCGAAGGAACAGGGAAUGCCGCGGGAGCAGCUCCGGGAGCCGGGAAUGCUGCGGGAACCGGGAAUGCCGCAGGAACAGGGAAUGCCACCGGAGCCCUCCCAGGACCCACAGGACGAGGUUUGUGUGUCCGGGCAGGAGCGGGAGCCCCCUGGCCAGGCUGGAUCCCCGCAAAUCCCCGCGGGCUCGGCCGAGCGGGAGCUGGAGGAGGCUCGGAAGCGCAUCCAGGUGCUGCGGGCGCAGCUCUCGGUGCUGGAGCUCCGGGCCCGGCCGCUCCCCGGGGCGCCCGCGGAGCUGCGGCGGGAGCUGGAGCGGAUCCGGCUCGGCCGCGGGGACCUGGAGGAGCAGAUCGCGCUGCUCAAGGAGCAGGAGCUGCAGCGCCAUCCCAACGGAAUUUAGGGAAUUCCACCCAAUUGGGAUUUAGGGAAUUCCAUCCGCUCAGGGCUGAGCCAGCCCCAUCCCGGCCCGUUCUGUCUCCUCAUUCCCUUCCCUCCGGGAAAAAGCCGCACUUUUCCCACCAGCCGACAAAAUUUGUCUGUUUUUUAAACAAUUUUGGACCUCAUGGAUGGUUCACCCCAUUUUCCUGCUGCAGUUUUAAAGGAGGAAAAGAAAAAAAAUGGAAAAUACUCCCUUUUUUUAGCCCCAGAAGACCAAACUGAUUUAUUCCACCCCAUCUUAAUUCCCCCUUUUUCUAACAAAAACCUCCCCGGAUUUGUGCUUUUGAAGGAUUUUUUUAGGAACUGUUUUUUUAUGUGGGAUUUUUGGGGAUUUUUACUGGUGCUCCGAGGUUGGGAAAGCCACGGGAAGGGGGUGGUGGCUCUGAUCCCCCUCAGUCCCGGUGGGAAUAAACGUGGAAAAUCCAAAUUGGGAGCUCUGAGG
This 1528-nucleotide long non-coding RNA is filed under the name Parus major (Great Tit). RNAcentral's name for it is "lncRNA (ENSPMJG00000009510.1)". Lineage: Eukaryota; Metazoa; Chordata; Aves; Passeriformes; Paridae. The record is from RNAcentral.